RNAcentral lists this long non-coding RNA (2236 nucleotides) under Oreochromis niloticus (Nile tilapia). RNAcentral describes it as "lncRNA (ENSONIG00000039535.1)". The record is from RNAcentral. Lineage: Eukaryota; Metazoa; Chordata; Actinopteri; Cichliformes; Cichlidae.
GUAUUUCAAAGGUAUUUAAUGUCAAAGGGAAAAUACCACAUGCAAAUUAUGAAAUUUCCCGUUGUGGGACUAAUAAAUGUAUCAUGUUAUUCAAACAAUAUUUUGUACAGAUACCAUUUACAAUAAUGUAUGACAUUUAAACAUGAUAUUUAGAUUGUGGUAAAUAGCAAAGCAAUAUAAAAUAAAAAAGGAAAACGAAAAGGAAACCAUUCAAGUAACUUUAUAUUAUGAACUGAAGAGUAAGGCAAAGUAUAAAUGAAAAGCAUACAAGCAUUAAUGUAUAUAAUAAACCCAACAAUCAUAUGACCCCCUAUGAGCAAGCACUUUGGCGACAGUGGGAAGGAAAAACUCCCUUUGACAGGAAGAAACCUCCGGCAGAACCAGGCUCAGGGAGGGCGGCCAUCUGCCGCGACCGGUUGGGGAGAUGUAAACAAAUCCAAAACUGUCCACAGAGCUACAGGGGGCACACUGGGAUCGCAACAGCAGCCAUAGAGCUACAGGGGGCACACUGGGAUCGCAACAGCAGCCAUAGAGGGAAACAGAUUAGGAUGUUCUUCCCAGUACUGAAGUGGGUCGGCUUUUCUUAUGUGUGCGUUUUUCUCUGAGAGGUAGGUCGGCUUUUCUUAUGUGUGCGUUUUUCUCUGAGAGGUAGGUCUCCACUUUAGUUUCUGUUGAUGAGGCACUCACGGAUACUUCUGGAUAAGGGUCAUUUGGAAGCAAGUGGUUGGCUGACUUUGCGAAAACAGCUAGAAACAGAUAAAGGAAAACACAAUUUAAAACAAUAAAACAAGAGACAUCACAAAGCGCAGCUCUUCAGUUAGCGAAAUGGCAAGUAAUGAAGUUCUAAAAAAUAAUUGGAAAAACAAAUCUAACUUUAGAACUAAAUGACCCAAAACUAUAUUAAAAAGGUAGUAAAAAAAGAAAUUUGCUUAAUACUGGUGUCUUUGGAUGGGGUAAGUUGCUAUGUAGGUAAAACCACACGUGGCUGUAAUUUGGUGGCCUGUAUACAGUUCCAAUCCAAGCAUGUAGUUGGUUUAAAUGGGUUUAAUACUGGUGUCUUUUGAUCACUUGACUGUAUAUAUAUAAACCUGUUGAACCAAAAGGUGCAUUUUAAUUUCACUAUACCUGCCCAUCCUUGUAGCCGGUCUCUACUAGCGUGGCACAGUUUCAAGAUCAGUGUAGGGCUUCUCACUGCCUUCACUGGACAGAACACAUCUGAGGAGUUAUGAAUGAAUGGAUGACUUAAUUAAUGGAUGAGAUUAUAGUUUGUUUCAAACAAUAUCAAAUGUUACAAUAUAAAGUAGAAACAAAAAUACAAUUACCUGUUAUGGCAGGGAUCCCAUCAGGUGCAGUUGCAGUCUCUCUGUUCACGUUUCUGGUCAGCUCUUCAAUGGAUGAGAGCAGUCUUAUUAUCAGCUCCCACUGGUGAGCUGUCCUUGUUGGUGGUAGAGUGUGCUCAGUUGCAAAGACACUAAGAUCACUUGGCAAGUCCAUAUCCCUCACAACCUUGCAGUCAUUUUGUGUUAGUGAAUUACACAAUAAAUGGGGUUGUGAUAACUGUGAUAUGUAUUCAGAACACCUGAUUGGAGGCAGGCGUUGGCUGUGAUAUGUAAAGGUGAUCAAUCAAUGUGUGUUUUUCGGUAGUUGCAGCAGUAAUAAGUUGUGCAUAUCCUCUUGACUGAAACAGUUCUUGGAUGGGUUUUUUUCCUCUGCUCAUAAGGUCCUCAUUGAAGUCUCCACAAACAAUAAUUGGUUGGCAAUUCAUCAUUUCCAAUGAGUCCAAAAGACAUUGCAUUUGUGGUAAAAACCUCACGUGGCUGUAAUUUGGUGGCCUGUAUACAGUUGCUAUCAAAGCUGUGACUGGCGAUUCAACCUUGAUAACAACAAAUUCAAGGUCAGUCACAUUUUGCAGGUAUUUUCGAGACUCUGCUGUAAGAACUGUUUUGUAGUACAUUGCAACUCCACCGCCAUUUACCUUUGCCAUGUCUGUAUGGUUUGUGUAAGAGACGUGUCUGUUGCGUGUGGCCAUGUUGUACUGUUCGAGCUGGAAGCGGGGAGAAACUGAUGAUCCAGACAAGUGAGUUUCUGUUAUGCAUAAAACAUCAGCAAGGCUGAGUUCAUGGUGGCAUCUCAUGUCCUCCAUGUGAGUUGGGAGACCUUGUGCAUUGUGAUGGAUAAUUGUCAUCGUGGGGACUGUGGGAACAACUGAUUUUAAGAAUUGCAACAGUGGUCUUGC